Molecule: long non-coding RNA, 356 nt
Filed under: Zostera marina
Lineage: Eukaryota; Viridiplantae; Streptophyta; Magnoliopsida; Alismatales; Zosteraceae
Description: long non-coding RNA (ZMAR_LNC004934)
Source: RNAcentral
AGGGGUAUAUUUAUAAUAUAACAAUAGUAUUGAUAAUUUAUUGUAAUUUUGUACGAGGAAUUGGUACAAGGGUAUGAUAUUCGACAACAAGGUACGAGAAACUGGUACGAAAGUGUGAUAUAAUUUCAAUCUAUUCGACAACAAGGUACGAGGAAUUGGUACAAGGGUAUGAUAUUCGACAACAAGGUACGAGUAACUGGUACGAAAGUGAUAUAAUGACAAUCUAUUCGACAACAAGGUACGAGGAACUGGUACAAAAGUGUGAUAUAAUUACAAUCUAUUCGACAACAAGGUACGAGGGUAUGAUAUAAUUGCAAUCUAUUCGACAACAGGGUACGAGGAACAGGUAGCCACAC